RNAcentral lists this long non-coding RNA (1132 nucleotides) under Prunus persica (peach). RNAcentral's name for it is "long non-coding RNA (PPER_LNC003730)". Lineage: Eukaryota; Viridiplantae; Streptophyta; Magnoliopsida; Rosales; Rosaceae. The record is from RNAcentral.
AAGCAACAAGAGAGUUCGAAACAGUCAUGCAGUACCAAUGCCAGAGCAAGAUAAAAUAAAAUAGCAAACUAAUACGUAGACCUUCGUCGCAAAGACCUCCGAUGAGAACACUAUAACACAAUCCAACUGUCAAAAGAGUCCUGCUAUGAAAUCAUAGUCCUUUGCACAGCCACAAGACAGUGAAAACAUCAUACAGAGAACAUAAUACGCCAAGAAGAAAGAAAACAACCACUAAGCACACUAUCUCCAGCUACCUCCAAUAGCAAUUGGCAAUGAAAGAAGAGAAAUCUGCAAGGAGCAACAUAAAGAAGAGAAUAACUGUAAACAAGCCAGGAAAGAAAAUAAAUAAAAAAGCCCCCAAGCACGCCAUAGCAUCUCAACACUGGCAAAGAAACCUCCUAUGAAAACGUAGUCCUUAAGACAUGUACAAAAUCAAAGAUCAGUUAAGGGGAGAACGAAGAAAACACUAUGCAACAAUAAGAAAACUAGCCUAGCCACUUAACCUCAACACAGAGAUCUGGUGUAAGAGAAUUUGCCUGAUGUCAAGCCUAUGAAUACUCCAAGAACACAUUAAGGAACCCGUCUAGUAGACUCUACUUGGCCAGUCUCCAUAGGUUUGUCAAGAAGAACACCAACAUCACCCGAAUUCGCAGUUCCCAUCGCAGAGUAGCCAGCCAAACUAGUAAAGAUGGGCAAAAGAUGGUGCCCAACAACCCUAGUUGCCAAAAACCUAGCCCAACACCAUGAAAAGAAGGAUCAAAGUUAUAAACCCUGAAAAGCCACCCACGCCUAAUCUCUAGACAGCGACCGUCUUCUCCUAACGGUAAGGCUUGAGAUCGCAGAUCGGAUGACAAAGAGGGAGUGAGGAAAGCCACCUUCACAGUGACCGCUGAUCCCAACGAAGCAGCUUGCAUCAUGAUCAUUGUUGACUUGGAGAUUGUCGGCACAUUAGCAGGAGUAAACCCACUAAAACCACCAUACCAAGGCAACCACCAGAGACGUUGACGCACCAAGGAGAAAGAGAACAAUGACCAACGCCCAGGAUAUGAGAGAGACAACAAUGAGGCCAACACCCUAGAGUCAAAGAGAAGAGUGACGGCAGUGACUCAACGUGGAAGAAAAGUGACUCGAC